AUGAAUACAAUCAAUCGUUUGGAAAUGCAGCUGUCAAUCAAAAAGUCACGCCUCCUGUUCACCUGUUCACUGCGACAACAGACAAAGAAAUCAUUCGAACUAGUGACGAGAGACAUUCAGAUUGUUACGAUGUUUCUUUUAUGUCGGUUUGUAUUUUGUUUCAUUUUGUCACUCAUUUUUGCUGUCAGACCUGUCAAGGGAAACUCAGGAUAUGCUGUUCAGUGGUACUUUGGAUUCAGGAACUAUAGCUCACUGGACUUCCUCCAAUGUCAGGAAACUGAGCUUCCCUUAUGUUCCAAGCUGUGUUUCAGUGAAGGAUGCUUCUCCUCUGAGUAUGUCCCUUCUGGGAAUGAGACGGGCUGCUUGGCAGUGCACAGCAGCAGAGGGCCUUCUGUUCAUGAUGCCACUGUUGCUGCUUUGACUGACAGGGUGCAGAUUGGGAAGCCCCUCCUCCUGGAAGUCUCAGGUUGUUGUCAGCCUUGCCAUAGCAAGCCUUGUGUAAUGUAACUUGAUUUUAAUUUGAUUGGGUUUCUAAUUAAAUGUAUUCAAUUGAAUUGGACAUUAAAGGCG
Carassius auratus (goldfish) is the source of this 570-nucleotide long non-coding RNA. The record is from Ensembl. NCBI's taxonomy places the organism in Eukaryota, Metazoa, Chordata, Actinopteri, Cypriniformes, Cyprinidae.